GUGCUCGCUUCAGCAGCACACGUACUAAGAUUGGAACGAUACAGAGAAGAUUAGCGUGGCCCUUGCGCAAAGAUGACGUGUCACCUCUCCAGAGAGUGUAGUAUGAUUCUU
Molecule: small nuclear RNA, 111 nt
Organism: Zalophus californianus (California sea lion)
Lineage: Eukaryota; Metazoa; Chordata; Mammalia; Carnivora; Otariidae
Source: Ensembl